CAUUGAAUCGUAAACGGAGGAAAAGAAACCAACAGGGAUUGCCCUAGUAACGGCGAGUGAAGCGGCAACAGCUCAAAUUUGAAAGCUAGCCUUCGGGUUCGCAUUGUAAUUUGUAGAGGAUGAUUUGGGGAAGCCGCCUGUCUAAGUUCCUUGGAACAGGACGUCAUAGAGGGUGAGAAUCCCGUAUGUGACAGGAAAUGGCACCCUAUGUAAAUCUCCUUCGACGAGUCGAGUUGUUUGGGAAUGCAGCUCUAAAUGGGAGGUAAAUUUCUUCUAAAGCUAAAUAUUGGCGAGAGACCGAUAGCGCACAAGUAGAGUGAUCGAAAGAUGAAAAGCACUUUGGAAAGAGAGUUAAAAAGCACGUGAAAUUGUUGAAAGGGAAGCGCUUGCAAUCAGACUUGUUUAAACUGUUCGGCCGGUCUUCUGACCGGUUUACUCAGUUUGGACAGGCCAGCAUCAGUUUCGGCGGCCGGAUAAAGGCUCUGGGAAUGUGGCCUCCACUUCGGUGGAGGUGUUAUAGCCCAGGGUGUAAUACGGCCAGCCGGGACUGAGGUCCGCGCUUCGGCUAGGAUGCUGGCGUAAUGGUUGUAAGCGACCCGUCUUGACCCUCGAACAAAGCAGAA
Molecule: ribosomal RNA, 623 nt
Filed under: Erysiphe berberidis
Lineage: Eukaryota; Fungi; Ascomycota; Leotiomycetes; Helotiales; Erysiphaceae
Description: partial large subunit ribosomal RNA
Rfam family: Eukaryotic large subunit ribosomal RNA
Source: RNAcentral